ACAACGACUUAACAUUGUUUUGUACACGGAUUAUCAAGUGGUUUCCGAGAGAGAUAGUGACUACGACCACAGACGAUUCGAGACGGUAUGACGGAAUUGCCUGCUUGUCCUGAUCGCCCUCUUGCACUUUUCGAACC
Molecule: non-coding RNA, 137 nt
Organism: Caenorhabditis elegans
Lineage: Eukaryota; Metazoa; Nematoda; Chromadorea; Rhabditida; Rhabditidae
Source: Ensembl